GGGGAAUUAGCUCAGCUGGUAGAGCGCUUGCAUGGCAUGCAAGAGGUCAGCGGUUCGACCCCGCUAUUCUCCA
This 73-nucleotide transfer RNA is filed under the name Bacteroidota bacterium. Its description in RNAcentral is "Bacteroidetes bacterium (activated sludge metagenome) tRNA-Ala". It matches the Rfam family "tRNA". Rfam says of the family: Transfer RNA (tRNA) molecules are approximately 80 nucleotides in length. Their secondary structure includes four short double-helical elements and three loops (D, anti-codon, and T loops). The record is from RNAcentral. RNAcentral also lists the same sequence under 1 other name. Lineage: Bacteria; Pseudomonadati; Bacteroidota.